CCUUCGAUAGCUCAGUUGGUAGAGCGGAGGACUGUAGUGGUUUCACGGGAAUCCUUAGGUCGCUGGUUCGAAUCCGGCUCGAAGGA
This is a non-coding RNA of Xiphophorus maculatus (southern platyfish), 86 nucleotides long. Lineage: Eukaryota; Metazoa; Chordata; Actinopteri; Cyprinodontiformes; Poeciliidae. The record is from Rfam.